Molecule: ribosomal RNA, 416 nt
Filed under: Shigella flexneri
Lineage: Bacteria; Pseudomonadati; Pseudomonadota; Gammaproteobacteria; Enterobacterales; Enterobacteriaceae
Description: bacterial SSU rRNA
Rfam family: Bacterial small subunit ribosomal RNA
Source: RNAcentral
AAAUUGAAGAGUUUGAUCAUGGCUCAGAUUGAACGCUGGCGGCAGGCCUAACACAUGCAAGUCGAACGGUAACAGGAAGCGCUUGCUGCUUCGCUGACGAGUGGCGGACGGGUGAGUAAUGUCUGGGAAACUGCCUGAUGGAGGGGGAUAACUACUGGAAACGGUAGCUAAUACCGCAUAACGUCGCAAGACCAAAGAGGGGGACCUUCGGGCCUCUUGCCAUCGGAUGUGCCCAGAUGGGAUUAGCUUGUUGGUGGGGUAACGGCUCACCAAGGCGACGAUCCCUAGCUGGUCUGAGAGGAUGACCAGCCACACUGGAACUGAGACACGGUCCAGACUCCUACGGGAGGCAGCAGUGGGGAAUAUUGCACAAUGGGCGCAAGCCUGAUGCAGCCAUGCCGCGUGUAUGAAGAAGG